CGGGACGGGUGAGUAAUGUCUGGGAAACGUGCCUGAUGGAGGGGGGUAACUACUGGAAACGGUAGCUAAUACCGCAUAACGUCGCAAGACCAAAGAGGGGGACCGUUCGGGCCUCUUGCCAUCGGAUGUGCCCAGAUGGGAUUAGCUAGUAGGUGGGGUAACGGCUCACCUAGGCGACGAUCCCUAGCUGUCUGAGAGGAUGACCAGCCACACUGGAACUGAGACACGGUCCAG
This 234-nucleotide ribosomal RNA is filed under the name uncultured bacterium. RNAcentral's name for it is "partial 16S ribosomal RNA". It matches the Rfam family "Bacterial small subunit ribosomal RNA", at positions 100 to 334 of the family's 1533-position model. The record is from RNAcentral.